GCUGCCCUCACAACGGCUGGAACUCGCACAACUGUGGCCACGGAGAAGAUGCUGGUGUCGUCUGCUCAGGAGUACAAAGCACUACUACCACCCCAGAUUGGUGGCACUCAUCACCCGCAA
Molecule: long non-coding RNA, 120 nt
Organism: Lontra canadensis (Northern American river otter)
Lineage: Eukaryota; Metazoa; Chordata; Mammalia; Carnivora; Mustelidae
Exons: 3
Source: RefSeq, a predicted model, not a curated record